RNAcentral lists this ribosomal RNA (253 nucleotides) under uncultured bacterium. RNAcentral describes it as "partial 16S ribosomal RNA". It matches the Rfam family "Bacterial small subunit ribosomal RNA", at positions 524 to 776 of the family's 1533-position model. The record is from RNAcentral.
UACGUAGGGUGCGAGCGUUGUCCGGAAUUAUUGGGCGUAAAGGGCUCGUAGGCGGUUUGUCGCGUCGGGAGUGAAAUCCACUGGCUUAACUGGUGGCUUGCUUUCGAUACGGGCAGACUGGAGGUAUGCAGGGGAGAACGGAAUUCCGGGUGUAGUGGUGAAAUGCGUAGAGAUCCGGAGGAACCCCAGAGGCGAAGGCGGCGCUCUGGCUCGCAACUGACGCUCAGACACGACAGCAUGGGGAGCGAACGGG